RNAcentral lists this ribosomal RNA (253 nucleotides) under uncultured bacterium. RNAcentral's name for it is "partial 16S ribosomal RNA". It matches the Rfam family "Bacterial small subunit ribosomal RNA", at positions 524 to 776 of the family's 1533-position model. The record is from RNAcentral.
UACGGGGGGGGUAAGCGUUGUUCGGAAUUACUGGGCGUAAAGGGCUCGUAGGCGGCCAACUAAGUCAGACGUGAAAUCCCUCAGCUUAACUGGGGAACUGCGUCUGAUACUGGAUGGCUUGGAUUUGGGAGAGGAAUGCGGAAUUCCAGGUGUAGCGGUGAAAUGCGUAGAUAUCUGGAGGAACACCGGUGGCGAAGGCGGCUAUCUGGCCCAACAUUGACGCUGAGACCCGAAAGCGUGGGGAUCAAACAGG